UUAGCCAAGGACUGCUCAUAAAUAGUUGAACGUGGCUUGGUGAUCACCUCCAACAGCUCCAUCAGCACCAGUGCUGAUUGGAGCCAGCCCAGCGAGAGCCAGAGCCGGUGAGGUUCAGCCGACCACGAGGUUCAGCCGAGAUUAGGAAGCUCAGAGGGAAACGUACAGGGACAGCGUGAUUCCCGGCGAGUCCCGAUCCCAGCAGCCCCGGCAGCCAUUGCGAGAGAGUGGCUGACGUGGCGGGGGGCAUUCCCACGGUGACGGCGACCACACCCCCUCCCCUUGCCUUGAAAAAGCCUUUGGGAGGACAGCGACCACCAGGUGUAAGGAGGAGCAAUCAGCUUGUGUAGCAGGCUUUUCUGCAGCUGCUCCUCUGAUAAGAACACUUUCCUUUGUGACUGCGAAGAGAGAGGGAACUUGGGAGGAAGUGAACCAAGAGCUACUGGGAAUGAGGUUAGCUGGUUAUUUGUACCAAUAUUAAUGGAAUAAUUGAUGAAGAAACACUAGAAAUUCCUCCUUGUUAACACCAUGUUAUAACUUUGCCUGGGCUUUGUUCUAAGCAGACCAGCAUAAGACAACAUUAUACCACCAAGAUGAUAGUCUAAUAGUCUUGAUUGCCUGCAAGAUGCUAACUUAAGUAAAAUGAUCCGAGGACAAGUAACUGUCUUUGGAUCAGUAAGAUCAUCUUCCUAUUAAAUUGUUUCUCAACAGCACACACCUCACAUGUUAAGCUGACAAACUGAAAGGGCUCCUAGAAACCAAUUUUAGGCUCAGGAAACAACUCAGUACAACCAUUUGUAAAUAUAACCGGAAUAAACUAUUUAAUCAAUCCACAAUCUCUAUAUACAUGCAAAAAUUACAUCUGAAAAAAAACAUACAUAAUUGAAGCUUAUUAAGGAAAAACACACACCAACAUAAGUUUUAUCUUAUGGGUUUUUAUAUGCAAGAGCAGGUGCUAUAAAUACAAGGUGAUCUCUGCCUUAGAUUAUGAUAAAAGAUUAAGUGUAAAAGCAGAAAAUGAUCUAACAGUCUGGGCAUAACACACAGUUAACUACCAUCUCAGACAGUUAAGGCCCUACCAAGUAAUUAGAGAUCAGAUGACAACUAUGCAAACAGCUCAAAUUGAGGUUCUUUGGGUCUCAGCGUUGCACUCCGAAGUCACACAUGCGUUCUUUUAUGUGUGUUCAGUAGCUGAUUCAGCUCAACUCUUUGAAAGCAACUGAUACACUUACCUUUGGCUUUGCACAAAGUCCAAAGUCUAUUAGCUUCAAAUUAUGCUCCUCAUCAAUCAGCAGAUUUUCCUGGUGAAAGAGAAAGUAGUAAUGAAUGCUUCCAUAACCCAAUAAACCACGUUUUCUUUCACCUUAUUUCUUCUUGUCAUUAGCAGCUAGUAUUUAGCUAAAGCUCUCCUCUAGAGAUUGCGAUUGGUUGCUGAUGAAUAUAUCCCAUAUUUCAGAUGGGGAAUACUAGAUCUUAUCUGCUGAGAAGGGCCUGGCAGUGGGGAUUUGCUAGACAGAACGCUGCAUGCGAGGCAACAGUGUGCUCUGGCAGAAAAGGUGGCCAGCAACAUCAUAGACUGUAUGGAAAGGAGAACAGCUUGUAGUCUGGGGUAAGUUACUCAAGUUCUCUGUUCAGCACAGCUUGAACAGUGCAUCUGGCUUCUGCCCUCCAAGCACAGGAAAGACAUUAACUGAGGAAAGCUCAGUGGAUGGCCACUGGUCUGCUUGGGGGCUGGAGCACUCUCUUAGUGAGGAGAGGCUGAUGGAGAAACAAUUGUUCAGCCUGUAGACAAGAAAUCCUAAGCAGACACCUCAGGGUAGCCUUUUAGUGCAGACAACACACAUUAAGACAUGUUCAGACUGGAAAUAAGGAAAAGUGUUUCUCCUCAUAGGGACAGUGGAGAGUGGAACAGGCUGCCCAGAAAUUGCACCUCCUCAUCCUUGGGAGAAGUCAAAUAUGUGACUGGAUAAAGCCCUAGGAAGCCAGAUCUGACACUGCUUUUGAGCAGGAGGUUCAAGCAAAAGCCUCUAGAACUCACUUCCCAUCCAAGCUAUGACAUGACACUAUGAAUCUAUCAGCUCUCUAGCCACAAGGCAACUCCUUCCAAAAGGUACGUGUAACACUUUGUUUGAGGAAAAGUUUUUUGGAGACAGAUUUCAUGAGCUAAGAAAAUGCCUGUGCACUAAGAAUUUGCUUUUCUGAGAAACAUCAGCAUUUCUGAAAAUGCAGAUUUCUGACCUCUUCAAGGAGAAAUGGACUCAAGUCUUCCAUUCUCUAAACCUAUGCUUAAACUCUGCAAUGACAGAAAAGCCACACAAUGAGUCCAGUACCAUGUGUCUCCCCCAAAACUCUGUCUAGCCAUCACUUGUUUAAAGUAUUAGUGUCACAUUUUGCUUUGGACGUGAAAACAGAACAGUUUGCACAACAGAUUGGCACCAUAAAGACUCCCUCCAAGUACAAGCCAGAGUAAGUGGGAUAAUAAAAAUGCCUAAGCAACAUUGAAAGUCAGAUCCGUGUCUUCUCUCCACUCCCAACCAGAGUGUAUUGUUCUGUCUCUCUUUGAGAAGAAUCUUUCCUCAGAUACAGUCACUGAGAAACAUAGUAGCAAGCAGAAAUAAUACACUUUCAGAAGGUAUUGGACAAAGAGGUCUAAGCACAAGAGAAUAGAGACGGUAUAAGUUACUCUGACCUCCAACGGAGAAAUAAAAAUCAGUGUUCAUCAUUAUUUAAGCAAAUCUGACUACUAUUCAGGCUUACUGGUUUGAGAUCCCUGUGGGCAUAUCCCUGACUGUGAACAUAUGCAAUUGCUGAAACAAUCUGACGAAAAAAUACACGAGCUUCCUCUUCUGAAAGGCGGUCCUUCGAAAUUAUGUAGUCAAACAGCUCUCCUCCAGGACAGUACUGCAUGAAGACAGGAAAAAGAGAAUGCAUUUAUAACACAGUAAUGAAAUCUAAACAACAAGAGCACUGGACAGAAACUAGAGAACACACUUCCCUUCCUUCUGCUUUACCAGAGGAGUGCCCAAGUGCCCCACAGCAUGCUGUAGGCCAGCACUGCAGCAGACCAAACAUGCAGAGGAAUUUGACCCUUGCCUGACGUGUUGCAACAAAUGCAUCACACUAACAUCACAGGCGACACAAAUUGCUAAGGAGGUGACAACCACACAGGAGGUCUGGGGUCCUGAAUAUCCUGCUGAUGCCAUUUUAAAAUUACUAAAGUGAGACGUAGGAAUUAAAGUUAUUUCACUUUUUGUAAACAGCAAAGAGCACCUUUUAUAAGAGAGAAUAGAGAACACAUUACCAGCUUCAUUUUUAAACUACAGCAUCUUGAACACAGUGGUCAUUGAGACAAUUUUUUAACAUGGUUUCAUAUGAACUCUUAUCUGCCACUACAGCUAAAACCUGGAACCUUUUCCAUGCGAGAAACACCACUUCUUACCUCUAAGACCAUGAAUAUUUUCUUGGAUGUCUCUAUUACAUGAUACAACCGGCAAAUAUGCUGGUGACUCAAGUUCUUCAUGGCAUCAAUUUCAAUUUUAACACGAGGCAAGUCAUCCUAAGAGACCACAACAAAAAGCUCAAAAAUGCAAAUUAUUUGGACAGCCUGUACAUCACAAUAAGCAUCAGAGCAUUGUGCAACACUAACUUUCACAGAAUGUAUAUGACAGUAUACAAUUCAACUUCUCAAAUUCAAUCCAGCAACAGCUCUGCCAUUACUCCCCUACAGUUCUGGCACACUGGCCAGCAAAACCCAGAGGGACAGACAUAAAUAGAUAAUAUUCUCAUCAGCAUUCUGUUUGCACUACUGUAAUAAUCUUUAACUUUCUCAAUUUUACAGCCAGAGAAUGCUGCCCUCUAUAUAAGAGGCACAAAAUUGGUGGCCUUCUGUUAAAAGGCCACCAAUUCUACAGCAUUCAUCAAUAGCCAACAGAACAAGCAGGCACCAUUUUGACAUGUCAAACCACUGUGUUCUUGAGAACUCCACAAGAGCAGCAGAGGAUGCUAUCAACUUUUAAGUAUCUUUUGGCUUACCCCUAGAGCAAGUUUGUCCAUGAUUUUUACUGCAACUUUUUCACCGGUGAGAAGAUGUCGUGCAAGUUUUACCUUUGCAAAUCCACCUAGAAUUCAAAAAGGAGACAUUUAAAGUGCAGUGUGAUGACAUGCUUUCUUGUCUAUGAGCCCAGUUACACUGCAGUAUCUAAUAUGCACAGUGUGCAGUGUCUUCAUUAGAGGAAAGAUGACUACUGCUACCAGCUUCCAAUUACAUUUUCAAAGUUAUGCCCCCAAAAUACACACAUGAAACACGACCUAUAUAUGCUACAAUAACAACUAAUCUUUACUCUGAGAAAUACUAUAAUGUUAGACAGAUUGUACAUACCCAUUCGCAUUCACAGAUUAUACCUACCUGUUCCGAUAGUUUCACGUAACUCAUAGUACUUGAGAAUUUCAUCAUAGUCCCCUACAGCCAUUCUGAGAGGAACAGGGCCCUGCAGUUCUUCUCAGCACCUGCAAGCAGAAAGCAUAGCCAGUGUUCAUGCUUUUCCACUCUGAGCAGACCUGCAGAAUCUGAAUUUUGCAGAUUCGCUGCAGCGCCAGCGGUGGGGCGACCUGCUUUCCCAGCCAAGUGCUGCACGCCCAGCAGCAAAUUAACGAGGGGAGUCAGACCGAACAACAGCGGCUUCCAGGGCCCCCCCGCCUGCGCCUGGCAGCCAGAGCGGGCGGCUGCUUUGCAGCAGUAACAAUAACGGCUCCGCCGGUUUCCUCCACAGUGGACACACCGCAGCGACCCUCUCCCUUGGCGAGCAGCACUGGGCGCUGCUCUCACGCCGCCCGCAGCCCGACUCCGCUGCGGACCCGUCCGGACCCCCGGGCUGCGAGGCGAGAGGCGUCGGGUGUCCCCGGCCUCCCCCGGACCCUGCCGCUAGGAGAAAAGCGAGAAGCCCCAAGGUCUCUGACCAGCACCGGGGUCUGCGGGGAGUGAGGGACCACGAACAGCACUCACCGCCUCGACAGCCACCUCCCAGCGCAGCCGUUACCUUUCAAAUCUCCUGGCCGCGGCGGCCAAGGGGCCAAUCACCGUGCAAGGUGAGCGGAACAGGCGGGAGGCGCCGUGCAUGCUGGGAGGCAGGCGGAGAGGGCUCUGGGGAGUGAAUGCAGCCAUGGGGCGAGGGUUCGUGCAGCUGUCCCGCUGCCGACAGGAACGGGCUUCAUCGUGCCCGGUCCCUACACAGGCGGAAAACAGCCUCCGAGCCUACCGGGGAAGCCGCUGCCCCGACAGCCGCCGGAGACGGCCGCGCAUGAGCCGUCACCUUGCUCGCGACCCUUGGGAGACUACAGCUCCCAGCAUGCCUCGCGGCCCGGCCUGCCGUGACCGGGCGGCCCCUCCCGCCGCGCUCGCGCUGCCCGCGGCACGGGACCGUCCCGCUCCAGCCGCCGGGCGGCCCCACCCCACCCCCGUGGGGCAUCCCGAAGCAGCUGAAGAGCAGACACGCAGGGCUGGCUCUGCUAAGGUAGGGAGCUGAGGGCCGCCUUUGUCGUGCUCAGCCAUUCCCUGGCCAGGCCUUCUGCCUUUCUGCCAUAAGGCAAAAAAAAGAAAAAGGACUAGUGGAGCAUCUUAUUCCUUUGGAAUGCUCACAGAGAGAUUAAAUCUCUCCCAAAAUAAAGUGACCUACAUUUAACAGAGUAAGGUUCAACUCUCUGCUGAAUAAAAUGACGAAGGAUGCUUCGGGGACAGAGUAUAGGGCUGUUCCUUUUGGGCAGGACAGAGGGUGUUUUACUUUCUGGUAGAUGUCUCUAAUAGAGGGAUUGUCAUCUUCUAUUCUGCAUCAGCCAAUUAAUGGCUCCUUGUGUUCUGAUGAACACAGUCAUUAUGAAAACCAUUGAGUAAUUUCACUGCAAAUACAGCAGCCCUUCCACAUGUGACUCUUGCAAAGACUGAAUGACUGAAAGAAAGCAGGCUACCUUUGUCUUGAGGGUUAACCCCCGUAUGCUGCAGAAGUUCCACAAAGCCACUCGCUUGGCUUGGGGGAAGGAGAUGGGGAGAGUAAAAGCAAGCAACCUGCUGAGUCAAGAUGAAAAUCACUUCCUGAGCAAAGCCAAAGCAGAAGGAGAGAGAAAGAAGAGAAAGGAAAGCAAGUAAUAUGAAGGCAAGAGGCAAGUGCCUAGCCCCACCCAGGGGUAGGCCUAAGGCCAAAAAGUUGACAAGGAAAGCUGGCCAACCUCCUGAAGCCCACUCCUCUCCCAUUUUGUUGCUGAGCACAGCAUGAUGUGGCAUGGAAUAUGUUUUUGGGGAGCUGGGGUGGUCUGCCUGGCUGUGUUCCCCCACAACCGCUUAUGCACCCCCCCACACCUCUUCACUGGGGCAGCAGAACGAGACACAGAGAAGGCCUUGAAGCUGUGCAAAUGCUGCUCAGCAGCAGCCAAACAGUGUGUUAUCAGCACUGCUUGGGUCACAGGUCUAACCCACAGUGCCGUACCAGGUGCUGUGAAGUCAAUAAACUGUGGCCCAGCCAGGCCGUGUGCACUUGGGCAAACAGGCAAUGGGGUUAAUGACCUCUGAACCUCUCACUUCUGACCUACACUGCAGCGAAGUGUGUGAACACUGCCUAGUUGUCUGGGCAGUGACACUCCUUGGCUGGAGCAGCAAGCUCACCACCUGCCAGGUGCUCGUCAUAUUGGAAUGUUACUAGUCUUAAUAGAAAUGCUGGAAUGGAGCCAGGCCACGAGGGAAACCACCUUGCCUUAAGCUGCCCCUGCUGAGCAUUCCCUAAGUUCUCAUAGAACAGAGUGUCACAGGGCUUGGAAAGUAGUUGACAAAGUAUCCAUUUUAAGGGGAUGAGAAUGUCUGGCAAUAGGGGCGGAGCAGCUGGGCCUGCACCUGCCCUUGAAGCAUUGUGGGUGAUUGCCAGCUUGUUGACAGCUGCCCGCUCUGCUUGCCGUGCCUUCUUGAGAAGGUGUUUUGGGGAUGGUUGGCUUUCUCUCAGCUGCAGCUUGCUGUCUGGGGGGCAGCAAGGCUCUGCAGGGGUGUGUGGGGGCCCAGCAGGCUUCUCUAGGGGUGUUGGGGAGCAGCGUGGUUCCACAGGGUCAUGUGCAGGACCUGGCAGUGUAGGCAUCCCUCGGGUGUCUGGGACUUGUCAGGGCAGGCCGGGGUGGGGAAGAGGAGCUCAAACGGCACGUGGAGUUCCACAGUCUUUUUAUCAAUGGCUGGGGGACACAGGCAAGCUGGCUGGGCUAGGGCCUCUGCUUCCAUCCUACAGGAUGCCCAUUUCUUUCCUGGGUCACCAACCACCAAGUGUUCCUCUCGCUGCGCUGCCACAGCCUUUGGCCUCUUCUUCAGGCUUCAUGGCACCACCUCUGUACACAGCUCCAGCAGCACUGUCAGCCAUUUCCCAGGGCAGGGGUCCUCCCCCUCCUCCAUGCCCUCUGGAGCUGGUAGAACAGUGCUUGCAGGCGGAAUCCAGAGGGAGGCUGUUUCACUGCAGACUCCAAGAUCAGCAGGGUUUGAGAAGCCAGGGAAGAGACUGAGAGGCUGUUGUCGUUUGCCUGGUCUUGAAGGGCUGGGAUGAAAAGGAACAGAGCUGAGGUCAGAGCCCAGUUCUGUGGUGACCUCUGGAGCUCCUCCAGCCAGGGUCACCCCUGCCCCCCCAGCUCUCCCCAGGGACAGGAGGAAGGCAGGGCUGUUGGGAUCUUCCCAAGGGUGAUGGCCGCCAAUGUCCAACGUACCUCUCUGCUCUGCCCACACUGACCCUCACCCGCACAGGGAGUAAAGCCCUCCUGGGCUGGGGCAGGAGUUGGGGUAUUUCCUCCUUCCUGACAACCCCCACAGGUACCCCACUGUCCUUACUUACCCUUGUAGAUGACCUGGAGCUUCUUCUGGCACACAUCUGCCUGCUGGCGCCCAAUGAGCCCUAGGCACACACAGCCCGUCACACGGCCUUUCUAGAGACCCAGCUUCCUGCCACCAGCCCCAUGGGCCUAGCCAUGCAUCUUCCUCCAUUUGGGCAAGGCUGAGCCCAGGGUGGUACCCUGAAUGUAAAGCCCAAGAAGGCUGCAAGAGACCCAGCAAAGCUCCCACUAGGAGCCCAUGUGCAAGUCCAGGUGCAAAAGGGCAGCAGGGAUCCCCGUGGGCCCCACAUGGGGCAGUCAGGGCUCUUCAGCUGCCUAGCAGAUUUGGCAGCAGCUGUGGCUGGAGCUAAGCUGCCGUGGGGCAGGGAGAGUCCCUUGGCAGGGUUGUGGCUCACCCAGGAACCUGACGGCCACCUCAUGCAAAGGCUCUUGUGGGCUCUGCAGGUAUGGCAGGCUCUGGUGCAGGUAGUCCUCCACUCUGCUGCUGUCCUCCGUGAGUUGGUGAGAGCACCAGGGGAGAGGGUUGACGCAAAGCCUUCCCCGAAGCCCAGGACUGGCCUUGCCUGCCUUCUGCUGGCCAGACACCCAUGAUGCCCAGCAUGCAGCUGGCUGGCACCGGGGUUUGGAGGAAGCAUGGGGCUGAGUGCUCCCUGCGAUGGCACCCUGCUGGCAAGGCUCAGCUGGGUUGGGGCUCCGUCAACACGCUUGGACUCCAGAGUGAAAAGGAACCUGUGUGUGGUGCAGGCAGCACUGUGCUGGCACAAAGGGCAGUGGCGCAGCUGCUAGCCCCAUGCACUAGGGAAUUGCGGGAGAGCGGCUUCUCCAGGCUGCGUGUGAGACUGUAUGGCCGUCCUUACCAGGCACUCGCCAGCUCUCCGUGUCUGCUGUGUCUCUAGCAGCUUCCUGAGCUGCCUCCACUUCAGGAGCCUGGCAGCUCCCAGGAUGGCAUCCCAAGAGGCCUUCAGACCAGCAGAGACUGGGAGAUGGCACUGCCACCCAGGGGACAGGAUCUGGGGGUCCCUGGGCAGAGCAGAUUGGGCAAGGAAGGGUCAGGGCCUCAGACUACCGCAGACACUGCUGUGAAGCCCACAGAGGCCCCAGGGCUUAGGUCUUUGUGGCUGCGCCCUGCUACUGAGCUAUACUGGAUCAGGCAGGGCAGGCAAGGGAAAUGCCCCUGCCCAAAUUCUCAGCUGCUGCCAGCUGUGUGGCUGCAGGCAGGGAGGAGCUCUGAGCCCUCCUCAGGGAUGCUGGAGGUCAGUCCCCAGUUGAGGCACAUUCAAAGGGCUCAGAAAUCUCCACCUGAGCCAUGCUGUGCUCCUUGUCAUGCAGGUGGAAGAACAGGGGCAUGAGCCUCUUCUGCAUGUCCUUCCUCAUCUGUGCUUUGUGGGUGCUGACUGCAACCUUCAUCGCAUCUCUGAAGAGCAGGAUGGAGCGCUCUCACACACGAUCUCCUAGGAGGAGAUGAGGAAGAAGGGGAGGACCUCAGUUUUGACUCCUCGAAGCCCAUGGUGAGGAGACAAAUCCUGGUUGCUCUCCCUCUGCAGCAAGCAAAAGAACUCAAGGGCCAGUGAACACAUGCAGAGAGGGACACACCAGCCCCAGGCCACGCACACCUGCCUGCCCUGCCCCCACCCCCCCUCCACCCCAGCAUGCUAAACAGGCCUCUGCUCUCCUGCCACCUUACGUUUUCAAAGAGUGUCAGGAGCAUCUCCAUCAGCUGUAGAGCAACGAGAAUAGCUGUUUGCCUGUCCGACAGGCAGAGCGUGUUGCCAAGGACAGUCAGGGCUGCCGUCCUGGUGUUGCAGUCUUCAUCCUGCCGGUGUUGUGUGACCUCUGACAGCAGGCCUUGCAGAGCUGCUGCCUAUGAGAAACCUGUGAUCUCAUUUUGUGGCACAAUCAAGGACCACCUUGGCAAAACCACCCUGCAUGUAGAGGCUGCAGCACCAGUGGGGCAGAGAUCUCUCUGCCAGCAGUGCAGCCCAGGGCUGGGCCUGAAGUGCUUGGGGCGACUGAGCAGGGCAGCAGGGUCUGUGAGUGUCAUUCUUACCGCUCCCAGCUCCUGGCAAAACCAGAAAAAGCCUCUGCACACAGUACCGCCUGCAGCCCAGUGCCAGGUGGGCAGCUUCACUGUGCCCAGCUGCUCCUGCUUACCUUCUCAGGCCUCUGAGACAGUGUGAUGAGGCAUGUAAUUGCCAUCCUCCACAGCAGCAAGCUCUCACUCUGCAGGUGGCACUGGAGGAUGGACAGGAUGUGAUCAGUGAUGUGACCCAAGUCAGUGCAGUCCAGGAGCUGAAAGGCGGUGGGCAGUAGAGUGAGAGCCUGACGCAGAUAGCAGAGCUCCUGGGCAGCUUGAGACAAGGCUCCAGGGCUGGUCACAGCCCUGGUGGCAGGCAGCAGCACCCACAGAGGGCCUUCCCUCUACCGUCUGCCUCAUGCACGCAGCCCAGUUUCCCCCUGCCUGCCCUCAGAGGAGCAGCACUUGCCACCAGGCCCACCUUGGUGAAGACAGUCAUGGUGCCGGUGUCCUUGUAGGCCUGUCCCUGGAGGAGGCCUAUGGCUGCCUGUUAAGACACAGAGGUGCAACAGUCCGGAGCUCCAUACCGCAGCACCCUGGCCAGGGGAAGAAGACAUUGGAAGCACAGAGCUGGACAAGCAAACUUCUCUCGCCAGCGCCACACUGCUUGCUGUGGUCUGCUGCGAGUCCAAGUCUCUCAGUGCAAUUUCCAGCAUGCUGGCAAGUGGCAGGCUCUGAGAGACUCUUGGGUGUGUGAUGUUCCUCAAGAUUGUGACGAUGAAGUCACUCUGGGUGAGGAAGCUCCCAAAUUUCUGAGGGAGAGAGGGAGGGAAGAUGUGUCACAGCAAGUAUCCUGGUGACAGGGCAGAGCUGGGCAGCGGGGGUGGCUCUGGAGUGAGAAACCUGGAGCAGAACUGGCCCUCAACCCCAGGAGAAGUGCCAGCAGCAAGAGGCUGGUCUGGGGGUGUAGUGGCAGGGCUCCUUCUGGGGGGGAUGGGGACAUCACCAGCCUGGCUAGGAGGUGAAGCCGGAGAUAAAAGAGACAAAAGGAAUCCUGUUAGAAGGUACCAGCCAAUGAGCAAUUGCCGACGUGUGUGCAGAGCGCGUGGACAGUACAUGCAGCCAAUCAUGUUACUGUAUAGCACAUGCUGUAACCAAUCAUAUUGUUGCAAGGUGUGUGGACAGGGUAGCAUUUGGUAUAAAGCUAGCUCGGUCAGACAAUAAAGUUGAACUCUGUGAACAUCA
Long non-coding RNA from Columba livia (rock pigeon), 11104 nucleotides. RefSeq lists it as uncharacterized. NCBI's taxonomy places the organism in Eukaryota, Metazoa, Chordata, Aves, Columbiformes, Columbidae. The record is from RefSeq and is a predicted model, not a curated record. The transcript has 2 exons.